GUAAGGAAUAUUGGACAAUGGACGCAAGUCUGAUCCAGCCAUGCCGCGUGAAGGAUUAAGGUCCUCUGGAUUGUAAACUUCUUUUAUAAGGGACGAAAAAAGGCUUUUCUAAGUCGUCUGACGGUACCUUAUGAAUAAGCACCGGCUAACUCCGUGCCAGCAGCCGCGGUAAUACGGAGGGUGCAAGCGUUAUCCGGAUUCACUGGGUUUAAAGGGUGCGUAGGCGGGCAGGUAAGUCAGUGGUGAAAUCCUAGAGCUUAACUCUAGAACUGCCAUUGAUACUAUCUGUCUUGAAUAUUGUGGAGGUAAGCGGAAUAUGUCAUGUAGCGGUGAAAUGCUUAGAUAUGACAUAGAACACCUAUUGCGAAGGCAGCUUACUACGCAUAUAUUGACGCUGAGGCACGAAAGCGUGGGGAUCAAACAGGAUUAGAAACCCGGGUAGUCC
This 445-nucleotide ribosomal RNA is filed under the name uncultured bacterium. RNAcentral's name for it is "bacterial SSU rRNA". It matches the Rfam family "Bacterial small subunit ribosomal RNA", at positions 354 to 796 of the family's 1533-position model. The record is from RNAcentral.